RNAcentral lists this ribosomal RNA (253 nucleotides) under uncultured bacterium. Its description in RNAcentral is "partial 16S ribosomal RNA". It matches the Rfam family "Bacterial small subunit ribosomal RNA", at positions 524 to 776 of the family's 1533-position model. The record is from RNAcentral.
UACGUAGGGCGCAAGCGUUGUCCGGAAUUAUUGGGCGUAAAGAGCUCGUAGGCGGUUUGUCGCGUCUGUCGUGAAAGCUUGGGGCUUAACCCCAAGUCUGCGGUGGAUACGGGCAGACUAGAGGCAGGUAGGGGAGAACGGAAUUCCCGGUGUAGCGGUGAAAUGCGCAGAUAUCGGGAGGAACACCGGUGGCGAAGGCGGUUCGCUGGGCCUGUACUGACGCUGAGGAGCGAAAGCGUGGGGAGCGAACAGG